UUCAGAGUAGAAAACGAAGCGUUAAGUGCUUAGAGGAUGGGAUGUUGCCUCUUUGACGAAGGAGUAGCGUGGCGCGCUAGUUUCGCGGUUUUGUUUUCGCAUUCGCUGCA
Enterococcus asini ATCC 700915 is the source of this 110-nucleotide regulatory RNA element. It matches the Rfam family "THF (Tetrahydrofolate) riboswitch aptamer". Rfam says of the family: THF riboswitch presents a pseudoknot that joins P1-P2 and the loop of P3 and two THF binding. The record is from Rfam. Lineage: Bacteria; Bacillati; Bacillota; Bacilli; Lactobacillales; Enterococcaceae.